Pezoporus occidentalis (night parrot) is the source of this 457-nucleotide long non-coding RNA. RefSeq lists it as uncharacterized. The record is from RefSeq and is a predicted model, not a curated record. NCBI's taxonomy places the organism in Eukaryota, Metazoa, Chordata, Aves, Psittaciformes, Psittacidae. The transcript has 3 exons.
GCUGCCCCCUUUCUUAUUCCCUCCCCUUUCAGGCACAGGAUGAGCCGGAGAAGAGCCCCACAGACCCCUCCUCCCAAGAGCCUUCAGCCCCUCCCCCACCCCCGGACGGGAGCUGCCCCUCCCCCACCGCCUGCCCCACACAUGAGCACCGUUACCGUGUGUACCGGGAUCUAUGGGGCAAGGGCCUGUACCUGACCCACGGCGGCAAGUUCGGGGGGGACUUCCUGGUGUACCCAGGCCCCCCCUCCCGUUUCCACGCCGCCGCCCUCUGUUUGUGCCCCGCCCCCUCCUCGGGAUUGGCUCCGGGCUCCCUCGUGGCCGCCGCCCGCCUGGGCACCCACGUGCGCAAGACGCUGCUGCUCUGCUCCGCCGGGCCGCCAGGGGGCGCCCCCGCCUACACCUCCCUCCAAUGGCGCGCCGACCUCGCCUGACACCACGUGACACCGAGGGGGCGGGG